UACGAAGGGGGCUAGCGUUGUUCGGAAUUACUGGGCGUAAAGCGCGCGCAGGCGGCCUUUCAAGUCAGGGGUGAAAGCCCAGAGCUCAACUCUGGAAUUGCCUUUGAAACUGUCAGGCUUGAGUACGGGAGAGGUGAGUGGAAUUCCCAGUGUAGAGGUGAAAUUCGUAGAUAUUGGGAAGAACACCGGUGGCGAAGGCGGCUCACUGGCCCGUUUCUGACGCUCAGGCGCGACAGCGUGGGGAUCAAACAGG
Molecule: ribosomal RNA, 253 nt
Filed under: uncultured bacterium
Lineage: Bacteria
Description: partial 16S ribosomal RNA
Rfam family: Bacterial small subunit ribosomal RNA
Source: RNAcentral